Molecule: transfer RNA, 73 nt
Filed under: Chloroflexota bacterium
Lineage: Bacteria; Bacillati; Chloroflexota
Also listed under: 2 other names
Description: Chloroflexi bacterium (anaerobic digester metagenome) tRNA-Lys
Rfam family: tRNA
About the family: Transfer RNA (tRNA) molecules are approximately 80 nucleotides in length.
Source: RNAcentral
GGCCCGCUAGCUCAAUCGGCAGAGCAGUUGACUCUUAAUCAAUUGGUUCCAGGUUCGAGUCCUGGGCGGGUCA